This 448-nucleotide ribosomal RNA is filed under the name uncultured bacterium. RNAcentral describes it as "bacterial SSU rRNA". It matches the Rfam family "Bacterial small subunit ribosomal RNA", at positions 29 to 524 of the family's 1533-position model. The record is from RNAcentral.
AACGAACGCUGGCGGCAUGCCUAACACAUGCAAGUCGAACGAGACCUUCGGGUCUAGUGGCGCACGGGUGCGUAACGCGUGGGAACCUGCCUUUAGGUUCGGAAUAACUCAGAGAAAUUUGAGCUAAUACCGGAUAAUGUCUUCGGACCAAAGAUUUAUCGCCUUUAGAUGGGCCCGCGUUGGAUUAGCUAGUUGGUGGGGUAAAGGCCUACCAAGGCGACGAUCCAUAGCUGGUCUGAGAGGAUGAUCAGCCACACUGGGACUGAGACACGGCCCAGACUCCCACGGGAGGCAGCAGUGGGAAUAUUGGACAAUGGGCGAAAGCCUGAUCCAGCAAAGCCGCGUGAGUGAUGAAGGCCUUAGGGUUGUAAAGCUCUUUACCCGAGAUGAUAAUGACAGUAUCGGGAGAAUAAGCUCCGGCUAACUCCGUGCCAGCAGCCGCGGUAAU